This 512-nucleotide ribosomal RNA is filed under the name uncultured bacterium. RNAcentral describes it as "bacterial SSU rRNA". It matches the Rfam family "Bacterial small subunit ribosomal RNA", at positions 28 to 523 of the family's 1533-position model. The record is from RNAcentral.
GACGAACGCUGGCGGCGUGCCUAAUACAUGCAAGUCGAGCGGACCAAAGGGAGCUUGCUCCUGGAGGUUAGCGGCGAACGGGUGAGUAACACGUGGGCAACCUGCCUGUAAGACUGGGAUAACAUCGAGAAAUCGGUGCUAAUACCGGAUAAUAAAAAGAACUGCAUGGUUCUUUUUUGAAAGAUGGUUUCGGCUAUCACUUACAGAUGGGCCCGCGGCGCAUUAGCUAGUUGGUGAGGUAACGGCUCACCAAGGCGACGAUGCGUAGCCGACCUGAGAGGGUGAUCGGCCACACUGGGACUGAGACACGGCCCAGACUCCUACGGGAGGCAGCAGUAGGGAAUCUUCCGCAAUGGACGAAAGUCUGACGGAGCAACGCCGCGUGAGUGAUGAAGGUUUUCGGAUCGUAAAACUCUGUUGUUAGGGAAGAACAAGUGCCGUUCGAAAGGGCGGCACCUUGACGGUACCUAACGAGAAAGCCACGGCUAACUACGUGCCAGCAGCCGCGGUAA